Molecule: ribosomal RNA, 216 nt
Filed under: Glomeromycotina sp.
Lineage: Eukaryota; Fungi; Glomeromycota
Description: partial small subunit ribosomal RNA
Rfam family: Eukaryotic small subunit ribosomal RNA (bases 47-216)
Source: RNAcentral
GGGUCAGUAGGUUGGUCGUGCCACCGGUACGUACUGGUCUCACUGGUUCCUCCUUCCUGAAGAACCGUAAUGCCAUUAAUUUGGUGUUGCGGGGAAACAGGACUGUUACUUUGAAAAAAUUAGAGUGUUUAAAGCAAGCUAACGCUUGAACACAUUAGCAUGGAAUAAUGAAAUAGGACGAUCGAUCCUAUUUUGUUGGUUUCUAGGAUUGACGUA